Molecule: non-coding RNA, 195 nt
Organism: Eubacterium sp. 14-2
Lineage: Bacteria; Bacillati; Bacillota; Clostridia; Eubacteriales; Eubacteriaceae
Source: Rfam
UCCACUGUGGGAUGGGAUCUGAAAGAAGCUGAUGUGGGGAAUACACUAACCUACGGGCAAAUCUCUGAUUUGACAAACAGAAAUCAUAUAAGAGAUUAAGCAUAAGGGUAAGACUGUAGGACAAGUUGAAGCUCAAUAACUACACGGAGUCAUGCAUGAUAAAUGUGACAGAUGGAUGGAGAACUUGAAAGUCCG